UGUGAUCAGACGCGAGUAGACUCCCUCGGCGACCUUGGUCGUCCUCGUAGCCGCAUCCUGGACUCUAGCACGACGCAUGGAUCUGCCUUUCACCCAUAGAGUGGGGCAGUCUUGCAAAUGUGCUAGGUCGACCUCUGUGCGGCUCUCCGUUKGCRAGGAUCACAUGGGUUUGAGAUCAAAACAGGUGCCUAGGCACCACYUGGUAUGAUUCUCAAACCGAUCUAAAUCAAUCAGGCGCCCAGGCACCUGAUYGRUUWAUGAUCAGUCGCUUURARAGUCCCUUUGAAAGGUCCUUCRAGAUCAAAAAYKGGUGUCUUGGUGUCCGGUYCCUUUGAGAUAAAAAACGGGUGCCUURGUGCCUGGUUCCUUCAAAAUSAAAACCGGAUGC
Molecule: unclassified non-coding RNA, 388 nt
Filed under: Dahlia merckii (bedding dahlia)
Lineage: Eukaryota; Viridiplantae; Streptophyta; Magnoliopsida; Asterales; Asteraceae
Description: partial external transcribed spacer
Source: RNAcentral